CCAGGGCCCAGGGUCCUAUGGGGCCACACUCAUCUAGAGUGACAUUUUAAAUGACUGAAGAAUGCCAUUUUCUUUCUGUUGAACAUUGCUGCCAGAGAGGUCUACCUCCCUUUUUAAAGCUCAGGCUGCCUCCUUAUAAGAGCAAAAGCCUGAAAGACCAUAAAAUCUGAAACUUAUUAUAACUGUCUAUAUAUUGUUUCCAUUCCUGCAUAACAUAUACCUGUACGAGCUGUAUAAAUAAAUGUAUAUUAUAUA
This is a long non-coding RNA of Carlito syrichta (Philippine tarsier), 255 nucleotides long. RefSeq lists it as uncharacterized. The transcript has 2 exons. NCBI's taxonomy places the organism in Eukaryota, Metazoa, Chordata, Mammalia, Primates, Tarsiidae. The record is from RefSeq and is a predicted model, not a curated record.